CCUACGGGAGGCAGCAGUAGGGAAUCUUGGACAAUGGGCGAAAGCCUGAUCCAGCCAUGCCCCGUGUGUGAAGAAGGUCUUCGGAUUGUAAAGCACUUUAAGUUAGGAGGAAGGGCAGUUAUCUAAUACGUGAUUGUCUUGACGUUACCGACAGAAUAAGCACCGGCUAACUCUGUGCCAGCAGCCGCGGUAAU
This 194-nucleotide ribosomal RNA is filed under the name uncultured Pseudomonas sp. RNAcentral describes it as "partial 16S ribosomal RNA". It matches the Rfam family "Bacterial small subunit ribosomal RNA", at positions 338 to 524 of the family's 1533-position model. The record is from RNAcentral. Lineage: Bacteria; Pseudomonadati; Pseudomonadota; Gammaproteobacteria; Pseudomonadales; Pseudomonadaceae.